Molecule: long non-coding RNA, 269 nt
Filed under: Capra hircus (goat)
Lineage: Eukaryota; Metazoa; Chordata; Mammalia; Artiodactyla; Bovidae
Description: lncRNA (ENSCHIG00010025206.1)
Rfam family: SOX2 overlapping transcript exon 4 (bases 1-97)
Source: RNAcentral
CCUGUAGCCCCAAAUCGGAUAAUCUCUGCAGCUGAUAACAAGCAAAAGAGAAGCCAGGCAACAGCCAUAUUAAAGAAGAAAACAAUCAACUCUGAGGAAACAGACAGGCAUGCAGAAGUAACUAGACGUCCAACACAUGCCAAAGUCUUGCGGGCCCAGGAUUUCAAACAAAAGAAAACUCGGGUAACGUGACUGUAAAUCAAGGGCGCUUGAGACCAUAGACAUGCGCACCUAGAAGGGUUAAUCGGCGGAGGGGGAGGAGAGAGGCU